This 470-nucleotide unclassified non-coding RNA is filed under the name Hevea brasiliensis (rubber tree). Lineage: Eukaryota; Viridiplantae; Streptophyta; Magnoliopsida; Malpighiales; Euphorbiaceae. The record is from RNAcentral.
GGUUUUUGAAUGUGGCCUUCUGUGUUGCUUCACUUUUUUCACUAAUUUUACUAACAGCUGAAGCUAGAAUCCCUGGUGUUUUUACUGCCGGAGCAUGGCAGAGUGCUCAUGCUACCUUUUAUGGCGGAAGCGACGCUUCUGGUACUAUGGGUGGAGCGUGUGGGUAUGGUAACCUAUACAGUCAGGGAUACGGAGUGAACAAUGGAGCACUUAGCACAGCGCUAUUCAACAAUGGACUGAGUUGUGGAGCGUGUUUUGAGAUCAAAUGUGACAACUACCCACAAUGGUGCCAUCCCGGAAGUCCUUCCAUCUUCAUUACUGCUACGAACUUCUGCCCUCCCAACUUUGCUCUCCCAAACGACAACGGCGGUUGGUGUAACCCUCCUCGCCCUCAUUUCGACCUCGCCAUGCCUAUGUUCCUCCAUAUCGCGGAGUACCGUGCCGGAAUUGUCCCCGUCGUUUAUCGCCGG